Molecule: ribosomal RNA, 761 nt
Filed under: uncultured archaeon
Lineage: Archaea
Description: bacterial SSU rRNA
Rfam family: Archaeal small subunit ribosomal RNA
Source: RNAcentral
CCUUCGGUCGGGAAACCCGGGAACUGGGUAUAAUACCCGAUAGAUCUCGACUGCUGGAAUGCAUCGAGAUCGAAAGCUCCGGCGCCAGAGGAUGGGUCUGCGGCCUAUCAGGUAGUAGUGGGUGUAGCGUACCUACUAGCCUACGACGGGUACGGGUUGUGAGAGCAAGAGCCCGGAGAUGGAUUCUGAGACACGAAUCCAGGCCCUACGGGGUGCAGCAGGCGCGAAAACUUUACAAUGCCGGCAACGGCGAUAAGGGGACCUCGAGUGCCAGGUUACAAAUCUGGCUGUCGUGAUGCCUAAAAAGCAUUGCAUAGCAAGGGCCGGGCAAGACCGGUGCCAGCCGCCGCGGUAACACCGGCGGCUCGAGUGGUAACCGUUAUUAUUGGGUCUAAAGGGUCUGUAGCCGGCCGGAUAAGUCUCUUGGGAAAUCCAGCAGCUCAACUGUUGGGCUUUCAGGAGAUACUGUCUGGCUCGAGGCCGGGAGAGGUGAGAGGUACUUCAGGGGUAGGGGUGAAAUCUUGUAAUCCUUGAAGGACCACCAGUGGCGAAGGCGUCUCACCAGAACGGACCUGACGGCAAGGGACGAAAGCUAGGGGCACGAACCGGAUUAGAUACCCGGGUAGUCCUAGCCGUAAACGAUACUCGCUAGGUGUCGGCCACGGUGCGACCGUUGUCGGUGCCGUAGGGAAGCCGUGAAGCGAGCCACCUGGGAAGUACGGCCGCAAGGCUGAAACUUAAAGGAAUUGGCGGGGGAGCAC